GAACCACCGUGAGAACAGCUGGUACUCAUGGACCAGUGGCAGCUGGAUGACCCGCAGUCGCCAUCCACUGAAUCCUUCCAGGAACACCUGCACGUGGAAGCAGAUUGUCUGCUUGAGUGGGAGACAUAGAGCCAAACCCAUGGCUUGUCAUGGGAAAAUCACAUGUAACCACCGCUGUACCUGCAUGGGCUGCUUACGGGGGUUGGGCUGGAAAACUUGACCAUAGUCUACAAGCUCUGCAGUUAACAGGAAGAAUCUUCUGCACUCCUUCUGGUCUUACUGCCCAAGUCAAGCCUGGAGGACCUUAAGGAGAGUCACCAGCUUUCUCUUGCUCUGCCGUGUUGGCCAGCAUCUAUUUUACAUUUGAAUGACUCCUCAAUGCCUACUACUAGGGAGAAUCCACCUGGAAUCCAGAUUUUUCCUUCUAAAUACCAGGAGAUCUGAUCACACCGGGCCCCAAAUCCCUCCUGGCAAUGACCGGAGCCCAUGUUCUCUAUAGGCAAGUCCCUGAGAGGCUGUUUUCUUUCUCCUCAAGGCGGGAGGCCAAGGGCCACUCAUGCUUCAUCUUCUCCCACCUGGCCUGCUUCCCUCACUGAAAUAAGGGUUGAUGUGUUUAUAUGUAAAUGUAUGCAGUACGCAGUCACCUCCCGCCCUGGAAGACCUUGGAGUUGGAGUCUGAUCCUUCCUGUGAAGUGUUCAUGGUGGACAUUGAGCCACAGAGCUCCUGCUGGCAAGAUGGCACCUUGGUGCGAAAGACAAAAGGGCCCCCUGGGGGAGCAGACAGUACACAGGUGCCCCCGUGGGUAAUGAAUUCCCCAGGGCUGUGCUGGGCUUGGCUUCAUUCUCCUCAGCAGCCCUAUUUGUGUGGCCAUGGGUGAAUCUGGGAGCCCGACAGCAAGGACAUCGCCUGCCGUUACUCAGCUCUUCCGAUUCGAUGUGCACCGAGCCUGGUCACCUGCUAGCAGGGACACAUGCCUGAGGUCCUCCUGCAGGCCAGGUUUCCUGCCAGUGCUGGGAGCCUGGAGUGGGUGUCGGCUAGGGUUUCCUCUGUCCUCCUCCCCACCCCUUGGCUCCCAGACCAUCCAUCAGCCCACAGCUCACCUGUGAAACCCAAGGCUGGGAACCGCGGUGCUAUUCUGUUACAAAAUCAAGAUUUAUCGGAACAUGACAGGCCUGGAGGGGUUUUAUGACAUGCACGGCGCCAAUCCCUCCUGUUGACCUAUUUGUCCCCGGUGGGGCGGGGCGUUUUACGACUGCCGACACCACUCCAUCUGCUCCUGGGCUCGCAGCGUUUUGACAGGGAGGACAAAAUGUCCAGCCUGGGCCAGACUCCGCGGGCUGGAUUAUCACUUCAGCACUGAGCACUCAGCCCCUUCCCCUUGGAGAAAGACCUCAAGCCCCGCUCCCCCCGCCCCGGCUCGGCCUGGUGUGAAUGAAAUUCAAAUCGAGCUCUGACAGCCCCAUGAAUUGUCUGUUUUCCAACCUGCCUCCCGCUCUUUCAUCUUCAUGGCAGAAACAGUGAAAUCAUCCGUUCCCAUCUCUACAAAGGCCCCACCACACCCCAAUUGCCUGUGUCUCGAGAGAAACGUGGUGUGGGGACCAUUUGGAGCCUCUUUAAAAACGAGGUCACCACAUCCUGAGGCUGCCUGGGAAUUGCCAUUCGGCAAGGUAGGGAGGGACCCCGGGGGUGACCAGGACACUGGGCCAGCUCUUCUAAUGAUUUAGUUAAAGAGUUAAGUCGUGUUUACAUGAAAUGGAACCCGUCAGGAAAUUGGAAGCUCUCGGCCUUGCUGUGAGUUCUGCCUCGUCCAACACUGUUCCCCCACUGUAUGUCCGCCCUGGGCGCGGAGCUGGGAUGGGUUUUAUUUUAUUAAAGGGGCAGGGUUUCUUUCUGUUUACUUGGUGUGCUCCCUUCUUUAUCAGCCUGAGUCCUGGCUCUGGGAUGGGGAAGCUGAGAGAUGUUUGAUGUUCAGAAAAGGAGGCUGAAAAGGGCUUCUCUUGGGUGGGUAGAAGGGGCAGCACCCCUGAAGAUUGCUUCCCGCUGAGAAGGGUCCCGGCCAGAGGGUGACGCAGGCUGGUGUGCGCUGAGACCAG
This 2094-nucleotide long non-coding RNA is filed under the name Homo sapiens (human). Its description in RNAcentral is "HSALNT0387675". The record is from RNAcentral. Lineage: Eukaryota; Metazoa; Chordata; Mammalia; Primates; Hominidae.